This is a long non-coding RNA of Brassica napus (rape), 4501 nucleotides long. RefSeq lists it as uncharacterized. The transcript is spliced from 2 exons. Lineage: Eukaryota; Viridiplantae; Streptophyta; Magnoliopsida; Brassicales; Brassicaceae. The record is from RefSeq and is a predicted model, not a curated record.
UUUUUUUUCUUUUGACAACUUUUGUCCGUGCUAAAUUCUUUCUAUUAAAUUAUUUUGUAAAUAUUUGGAAGUGUAAAAUAUGAUGUAUGAUAUAUGGUAAUUUUUUAAUAAUUUUUGAAAUAUAAAUUUAAUAAAUUUAGUGGAUUUAAAUAACAUAUCUAUAGUAUAUUCUUUUGUGUUUAUAAUAUUUUGUAACAAUGAUAUAUCUUAUAUCUUAGAAAUAAAGUAAAAAAUAUAAGAAUAUUCAAUUUUUGAUUUGUUUUAAAUUUAGAUGCCUUUAAAAUAAGGUAUAUUCUUAGAAAAUAUAGGGAAAUUAUGAUUGAUUUAUUUUUGAAAGGUUAAUUGUUACAAAUUAAUUACAAUGAUAAGAAUAUACAAUGACAAUUUCAAGCAUUUUUGAAAUUAUAUUAAAUGUUUACAAUAUAUAUAUAUAUAUAUGUAAGUUUGUUAUAAUGCUGUGAUAAAUAUGAUGACUCAUUUUUACCAAAAAAAAAAAAUGAUGACUCAUUUAGAUAGUAUAUGUCUAAACAUUAGAUAGAGAGUAAUUUUUGAUCAAAAAAAAAAAAGAUAGAGAGUAAUUUAUGAAUUAUGAUGUCUAAAUCAAUCAAUGUGGGACAUUGGAUAGAGAGUAAUUUAUGAAUUAUGAUGUCUAUUUUCCUUAGUUCGACGCUCUGUUUGUUUAAAUUUUUUUGUUUAAAAGGAAUGGCAAAGUGGUAAAUACGUUUGUCUUUGUCUUCCUCAAUCAAUUUUAAGGAUUAUAGAUUUUUGCAGACCCACCGCAAAGUUCUUCAACCCAGUAUUUCCUUCUGCUUCUUGAAAUGAAUUGUAGACGCCAUAAUUUGAUAAUCCACCGGCCGAAGUUACAUCAGGUGUGAAAAUAAGAGCCGGAUUAAGCUUUCGAUCAGCUUCUCUUGUUGAAUCUCUCCGAUCACCGUAUUAGCGGACGCUAAUCGGUAAACUGGGGGCGUUCUAGAACCUAUAACCAAACGUAUGUACAUAUUUAAAAGGUUAAUAAACCAUUUUUGUUUCACCAGAAAAAACAAUUAUGUAGUCCUUCCGUUUUUUUAAUAGAAGUCGUUUUAGAAUUGUCCACAUAUAUGAAAUCAUUGAUUUUUUAUAUUUUCUAAACAAAAACACCAUUAAUUAUUUAUCUAACCACAAAUCAACUAAUAAUAAAAUAGAAGGUAUAUUAUCAUUGGUCAUAUAAUAUUAAGUGUUAAUAAAUUUUACAUAGAAAACCGAAAACGUCAUAUAAUUUGAAACAUAAAAAUUUUUCUAAAACGACUUAUAUAAAAAACGGAGGGAGUAUUGAAUGUAUUCUAGAUUUCAGGUGGUUAUCGAAAGUGGUCAUAGAAGGUGGUUACAUUCGGUCAUUAAAUUUCGUUGCAGUUAACAUAUAAAAAAAAUAUGUAUUGUUGAAAUAAUUGUUGGAUCCUACUUUUAUCAAUGGGUCACACUGUUGUUUAGAAUAGAUAGAUAAUUUUGUUCUCUCCUAUUCCAAUUCGAUGUCUAGCAUGAUUAGGUAGGGGACCUUUGUUUUGAUUAACCUUGUUAAUCUUCUGUAACGUAUCAGUAGAGAUCCAAAACUUGCUAGUGGAUCUUUCUGAUCAUCUCUUUAGUAGAAUAUAUCUUUGGUUUACAUACUUCAUAAGGAUCUUGUCCCGAAGAACAUUAUAGUGUGUUGGAACUUGAAAGUAAUAAAACAAUUUAUUUGAUUUAUGUGUUUUCAUAUCUAUGGUUUGCGUUUGUUUUAUAGUGCUGUAAUGAAAAUUACUCGAUCGAUUUCUAUGCUUUCUAUCAUUUCCACAAUUGUGGGCACUUUAAAUAAAAAACGAAAAAGACUUUUCCAUCUAUGGUUUCGAGAUUGUUUGUUGCCUUUGUUAACACAAUGACCUUUGAUGUUUCAGAGACAAAAGGCGAGCCCGAAUAAGUGGCUGCAAUCACUUUUCCGAAGGAUCAAUGAUACAAAGAUAUUCUAUUAUACAAAAAACUACAAAUGUUCAUGUGUAUGAUUUUCUCUUAUACAUGUAUGAUCACUUUAUUAUGUUUCUGAUAAUUCGCCUCACUCUCAGUUCUGUUUGCUUUCUUUCUUUACUUCAGAGCAUCUGCAGCAUCGAAAAUCCAAGUUGGAAGUUCAGUUAGCUUAAAAAAUGCGUGUCUGGCCUCUCGGAAAGAGUAUCAUAACCACUCACUAAGAUCUUGAUCUUGAUAGUGUAAACAAGUACUUGAGCAAACUUGGAUACAAUAUGGAGUUGAUUCACUCUUACUUGAUAUGCAUUGCGUGCUAUGAUUGAUUUCUCCUUCUAUGUUUCAGUUUUUCUAAAUAGGAUAUCGAGGAUGUUAUUGUAAUCAAAAAACUAUGGAAAAUCUUUGGGUAUCACUGCUAAGACAAGGUAAGUUUAAGUCGCCACUGUCAGGGAAGUCUACUCCAUGCAGAGAUGGCAGAGAUGGUGACAGAGCUGUUCAGUGUUUCGAAAAUAACCACUGAACAUCAUUUUAAGUCUGAGAAGAAUGAAUCUACAAUAUACCUCUGUAUCUGAUACUAAAUUGAAGUCAUCCAAGUUAAGCAGCUCGACAGGUUUGCAUCACGCUGCAUCAACAUACUCUGUUUCUCCACUAGCUCCUCAUGUCUUUACUUCAGAAUCAUUGCUUUAACUUUUUAACAGGUACAUAAAGUAAUUAAUGUUUCAGAAACUACUUCGAUCGGAUUCUUUUAUGCAUCUCCACUUGAAUUCUCCUCCUUUUCAGUUUGACCCAUUACAUCAAAAACAGCUCCAGGUGAAUCAUCCAUUCUUUCUUCAUUAGUCACAUGAACCGUGAUCUCUUCCAUGGUUACAUCUGAGCUUUGAUACACAUAUAAAAAUGAAAAAUACUCGUGCAUAUAUCUAUAAAAAUAAAAAUAUCCGCGCAUGAUAUAUAUAGUAUAAGGUUAAUGUAGGGAUUAUUGAAUUAUAAGAGUAUCAUUUCCAACUAUAUAAUAACUAUACAUAUUUAUGUGUAUAUGCGCUGCAAUUACUCUUUGGAUAAUUCUCUUUAAUAGCCGUAUUUAAAUUUUUGUCCCAAAACUAGUUCUCUCUGGGUGAAAAUCAGAAAUAUAGCAUUUACUGAUUUCUCUCGAAAACGACGACGAUAAGGAUCUUUCUACUCGAAAUCGACGACGCCGGAGACAGCAAUGUAAUCGUCGUGAAUCUCACCAUUGACAAUGGUCACACUCGAUUGUAAGAUCGAGACCGAGAAUUCCCAACCCGGAUCCAGAACGUUGAAAAGAUGUAGCUGAGAUUCGAGAAGCAGAAGACGCGAGAGGAAAUGCAUCUCGGAGGAGAGUUGGGAGUAGGUGAAGCUGAAGGAGCUGUUGGCCACGGAGAACGACGGGACUUUGACGUUUGUGACGGAGAUCUCAGAUCUCUUGAUCUAAAGACGGUGAGGUAAACGUUGAUUGUUCUUAGUUUCGUAGUUUUUUUUUUCUUUUUAUUGACGAGCAUGGGAUGGGACAUUUUGUGAUUUUGGUUUUAAAAUUUGUUGACAUUCAUUGAGUUGAUGAUGAGACUGUGGAAGUGUGAACUGAAUUUUGGUCUCUUCACUGCCGAGGGGUAUAGUACGGUGGAUCCAUCACGCCAAGAGUCACCGUGAGAUGCUGCGCAAAAGAGUCUCCAACAAAAUUGAAAAACUUUUUGCUUAGUGUCUUCUUAUUUGGUUUACGCAUGUUGAUAUCUUUGGUAGGUUCAUGAAUUUGCUAAUGAUAUUGUUACUAUCUUGCUUGUGUUUGUGAAAUUAUGUAGUCUUUUUUAAAUUUCAAGAAGGAUUUGUAUAGUUUCAGGAAAGCUUUCCAGAAAAAUCUGAUGUUAACAAAUUUGAAAAACUUUUUGCUUGGUGUCUUCUUGUUUGGCUUACGCAUGUUGAUAUUUUUGGUAGGCUCGUGAAUUUGCUAAUGAUUUUGUUAGUCUCUUGCUUGUGCUUGUGAAAUUGUGUAGUGUUUUUUUUAAAUUUCAGGAAGGGUUUGUCUAGUUUCAAGAAAAUUUUCCAGAAAAAUUCGAUGUUAACAAAUUUGAAAAACUUUUUGCUUGGUGUCUUCUUGUUUGGCUUCCCAUGUUGAUAUCUUUGGUAGGCUCGUGAAUUUGCUAAUGACAUUGUUAGUUUCUUGCUUGUGCUUGUGAAAUUGUGUAGUGUUUUUUAAAUUUCUGGAAGGAUUUGUGUAAUUUCAGGAAAGCUUUUCAGAAAAUUCGAUGUUAACAAAUUUGAAAAACUUUUUGCUUGGUGUCUUCUUGUGUGGCUUACGCAUGUUGAUAUCUUUGGUAGACUCAGGAAUUUUCUAAUGACAUUGUUAGUCUCUUGCUUGUGCUUGUGAAAUUGUGUAGUGUUUUUUAAAUUUCAGGAAGGAUUUGUGUAGUUUUAGGAAAAUUUUCCAGAAAAAUUCGAUGUUAAAUCAGGAAGGCUAUCUUGAUUAUGUACAAAAGCUUCCAAAAAGUUUUGGUAUAUGCUCAUGCACAUAUUUCUUCUUGCA